Molecule: ribosomal RNA, 654 nt
Filed under: Triticum aestivum (bread wheat)
Lineage: Eukaryota; Viridiplantae; Streptophyta; Magnoliopsida; Poales; Poaceae
Description: partial small subunit ribosomal RNA
Source: RNAcentral
AUGUGUCGGAACCUGACUUCUAUAUCGUCUAACUUCUGGUGGGGAGAAGCAAAUGGGGAGAGGAAGGUGCACUGGCUUGCAUGGAAGAAGAUGUGUAGGGCAAAGAAAGAAGGGGGAAUGGGCUUUCGGGAUCCAACAGCUUUUAACCAAGCUCUGCUAGCCAAACAAGCCUGGCGCGUGCUGCAUUACCCAGAUUCUUUGUGUGCUAGAGUGCUCAAGGCAAGGUAUUUCCCCCAUGGAUCAAUCUUGAAUGCCACCUGCCCUGUCGGCGGCUCGUUCACUUUCAGAAGUAUUAUUCAUGGUCGGGAGCUAUUGCGUGAGGGACUAGUGUGGAGGAUUGGUGAUGGCACAUCGAUUAAAAUCCACCAUGAUAACUGGCUCCCGCGCCAGGGAAGCCUCAAGCCACUUGGGCAGCAGUAUAUUACAGGGAUCACUCAUGUGCGCCACCUCCUGAAUGAAUCCGGUGUUGCAUGGGACAUGGCCAAGGUGGAAAGGAUGUUUACUCCUGGGGAUGCGGAGGAUAUAAAGCAGAUUGUGAUAGGUGGACCGAAUAUGAGGGAUUAUGUGGCAUGGAACUUCACCAAUAAUGGACAAUUUUCAAUCAAGUCGGCAUAUCAUCUCCGCAUGAGUUUAAGUGGUGUCAAGACCGGAUAG